Molecule: ribosomal RNA, 2887 nt
Filed under: Helicobacter bizzozeronii
Lineage: Bacteria; Pseudomonadati; Campylobacterota; Epsilonproteobacteria; Campylobacterales; Helicobacteraceae
Description: bacterial LSU rRNA
Rfam family: Bacterial large subunit ribosomal RNA
Source: RNAcentral
ACAAGAUGUUAAGAGUAGAUGGUGGAUGCCUUGGGUAGUAGAGGCGAUGAAGGACGCACUAGACUGCGAUAAGCUGCGUGGAGCUGUCAAGAAGCGUUGAGGCGCAGAUGUCCGAAUGGGGCAACCCAAUCCAUAGCAAUAUGGAUUACUCUAUUUAGAGAGCGAACCUAGCGAAGUGAAACAUCUCAGUAGCUAGAGGAAAAGAAAUCAACGAGAUUCCCUCAGUAGUGGCGAGCGAAAGGGGAAAAGGGCAAACCGGGUGCUUGCACUCGGGGUUGAGGACGACAACAUUCAAGGGGUUUAUCUAGCAGAGUUGCUUGGAAAAGCAAGCCAUAGAAGGUGAUAGCCCUGUAUGCGAAAGAUACACCCUAGAUAGUCGUAUCCAGAGUAGGCCAGGACACGGGAAAUCCGGGCUGAAGCCGGGGAGACCACUCUCCAACCCUAAAUACUACUACUACACCGAUAGCGCACAAGUACCGUGAGGGAAAGGUGAAAAGAACCGUGGGUAACGGAGUGAAAUAGAACCUGAAACCAUCUACUUACAAUCAUUCAGAGCCCUAUGAUUUAUCAGGGUGAUGGACUGCCUUUUGCAUAAUGAUCCUGCGAGUUGUGGUGUCUGGCAAGGUUAAGUGAAAACGAGCCGUAGCGAAAGCGAGUCUGAAUAGGGCUAUUUAGUCAGACGCUGCAGACCCGAAGCCAAGUGAUCUAUCCAUGGCCAAGUUGAAACGAGUGUAACAGCUUGUGGAGGACUGAACCCGUGCCCAUUGAAACGGGCUGGGAUGAGCUGUGGAUAGGGGUGAAAGGCCAAACAAACUUGGUGAUAGCUGGUUCUCUUCGAAAUAUAUUUAGGUAUAGCCUCAAGUCAUAACAAGAGGGGGUAGAGCUCUGAUUGGGCUAGGGCUGCUCGCCGCAGUACCAAACCCUGUCAAACUGCGAAUACCUUUUGUUGUAUCUUGGGAGUCAGGCGGUGGGUGAUAAAAUCAAUCGUCAAGAGGGAAACAACCCAGACUACCAACUAAGGUCCCCAAGUUCUAUUCUGAGUGGAAAAAGAUGUGUGGUUACUCAAACAACCAGGAGGUUGGCUUAGAAGCAGCCAUCCUUUAAAGAAAGCGUAACAGCUCACUGGUCUAGUGAUCAUGCGCUGAAAAUAUAACGGGGCUAAGAUAGACACCGAAGUUGUAGAUUGCUCUUUUAGAGCAGUGGUAGAAGAGCGUUCUGUGCAGCGUUGAAGGCAUACCGGUAAGGAGUGUUGGAGCGCACAGAAGUGAGCAUGCAGGAAUGAGUAGCGAUAAGAUACGUAAGAAUCGUAUCCGCCGUAAAUCUAAGGUUUCCUACGCGAUGUUCGUCAUCGUAGGGUUAGUCGGGUCCUAAGCCAAGUCCGAAAGGGGUAGGCGAUGGGAAAUAGGUUAAUAUUCCUAUACCAAUUGCAACGCGCGAUGGGAGGACGCAUAAAGUUAGGUGAGCUAGCUGAUGGAAGUGCUAGUCGAAGGGUGUAGAUUGGGAGAUAAGGCAAAUCCGCUCCUGUAUUUGAAACCUGACAGGCUCUCCAAGACUUUCGGGUCGAGGGGAGAAUCACUGAUACUAUCGUGCCAAGAAAAGUCUCUAAGUUUAGUUGCAAUUGUCCGUACCGCAAACCGACACAGGUAGAUGAGAUGAGUAUUCUAAGGCGCGUGGAAGAACUCUCUUUAAGGAACUCUGCAAACUAGCACCGUAAGUUCGCGAUAAGGUGUGCCUACGCAAGUAGGUCUCAGCAAAGAGUCCCUCCCGACUGUUUACCAAAAACACAGCACUUUGCCAACUCGUAAGAGGAAGUAUAAGGUGUGACGCCUGCCCGGUGCUCGAAGGUUAAGAGGAUGGGUUAGCCCGCAAGAGCGAAGCUUUGAAUUGAAGCCCGAGUAAACGGCGGCCGUAACUAUAACGGUCCUAAGGUAGCGAAAUUCCUUGUCGGUUAAAUACCGACCUGCAUGAAUGGCGUAACGAGAUGGGAGCUGUCUCAAAGAGAGAUCCAGUGAAAUUGUAGUGGAGGUGAAAAUUCCUCCUACCCGCAGCAAGACGGAAAGACCCCGUGGACCUUUACUACAGCUUAGCACUGCUAAUGGGAAUGCCAUGCGCAGGAUAGGUGGGAGGCUUUGAAGCAAGAGCUUUGGCUCUUGUGGAGCCAUCCUUGAGAUACCACCCUUGGCGUUUUUGUUAGCUAACUGGCUAGAGUUAUCCUCUAGCAGGACAAUGCUUGGUGGGUAGUUUGACUGGGGCGGUCGCCUCCUAAAAAGUAACGGAGGCUUACAAAGGUUAGCUCAUGGCGGUUGGAAAUCGCCAGUUGAGUGUAAUGGCACAAGCUAGCUUAACUGCAAGAGAGACAACUCAAGCAGAGACGAAAGUCGGUCAUAGUGAUCCGGUGGUUCUCGUGUGGGAGAGCCAUCGCUCAAAGGAUAAAAGGUACCCCGGGGAUAACAGGCUGAUCUCCCCCAAGAGCUCACAUCGACGGGGAGGUUUGGCACCUCGAUGUCGGCUCAUCGCAUCCUGGGGCUGGAGCAGGUCCCAAGGGUAUGGCUGUUCGCCAUUUAAAGCGGUACGCGAGCUGGGUUCAGAACGUCGUGAGACAGUUCGGUCCCUAUCUGCUGUGGGCGUAGGAAAGCUGAGGAGAGCUGUCCCUAGUACGAGAGGACCGGGAUGGACAUGCCACUGGUGCAUCAGUUGUUCUGCCAAGAGCACCGCUGAGUAGCUACGCAUGGUUGUGAUAAGAGCUGAAAGCAUCUAAGCUCGAAGCCAACUCCAAGAUAAGCUUUCCCUGAAGCUCGCAUGAAGACUACAUGUUUGAUAGGGUGGGUGUGUAAGUGCAGUAAUGCACUCAGCUAACCACUACUAAUAGAGCGUUUGGCUUGUUUGG